Molecule: ribosomal RNA, 445 nt
Filed under: uncultured bacterium
Lineage: Bacteria
Description: bacterial SSU rRNA
Rfam family: Bacterial small subunit ribosomal RNA
Source: RNAcentral
AGAGCGAACGCUGGCGGCAGGCCUAACACAUGCAAGUCGUGCGCCCCGCAAGGGGAGCGGCAGACGGGAGAGUAACACGUGGGAACGUACCCUUCAGUUCGGAACAACCCAGGGAAACUUGGGCUAAUACCGGAUACGUCCGUAAGGAGAAAGAUUUAUCGCUGAAGGAUCGGCCCGCGUCUGAUUAGCUUGUUGGUGAGGUAACGGCUCACCAAGGCGACGAUCAGUAGCUGGUCUGAGAGGAUGAUCAGCCUCACUGGGACUGAGACACGGCCCAGACUCCUACGGGAGGCAGCAGUGGGGAAUAUUGGACAAUGGGCGCAAGCCUGAAUCCAGCCAUGCCGCGUGGAUGAUGAAGGCCCUAGGGUUGUAAAGUCCUUUCGGCGGGGAAGAUAAUGACGGUACCCGCAGAAGAAGCCCCGGCUAACUUCGUGCCAGCAGCAGC